GGCCCCUUCGACUAGUGGUUAGGUCACCACCCUUUCAAGGUGGUUGGACGGGUUCGAAUCCCGUAGGGGUCA
Molecule: transfer RNA, 72 nt
Filed under: Chlorobiota bacterium
Lineage: Bacteria; Pseudomonadati; Chlorobiota
Description: tRNA-Glu
Rfam family: tRNA
About the family: Transfer RNA (tRNA) molecules are approximately 80 nucleotides in length. Their secondary structure includes four short double-helical elements and three loops (D, anti-codon, and T loops).
Source: RNAcentral